GUCUGCCUUCUACACCUUUCGCUACCCACUGAGUCUCAGCCCAGAUGACCGCAGGGGCGUUCAACACCUAUAUGGCCAGCCCUGGCCCACUGUCACCUCCAGGACCCCAGCCCUGGGCCCCCAGGCUGGGAUAGACACCAAUGAGAUUGCACCGCUGGAGGUGAGGCCCUGCCUGCCAGUCCCCCUACUCCUCUGCUGGCCACUGUGACUGCAGCAUAUGCCCUCAGCAUGUGUCCCUCUCUCCCACCACAGCCAGACGCCCCGCCAGAUGCCUGUGAGGCCUCCUUUGACGCGGUCUCCACCAUCCGAGGCGAGCUCUUUUUCUUCAAAGCGGGCUUUGUGUGGCGCCUGCGUGGGGGCCAGCUGCAGCCUGGCUACCCAGCAUUGGCCUCUCGCCACUGGCAGGGACUGCCCAGCCCUGUGGACGCUGCCUUCGAGGAUGCCCAGGGCCACAUUUGGUUCUUCCAAGGUGCUCAGUACUGGGUGUACGACGGUGAAAAGCCAGUCCUGGGCCCCGCACCCCUCACCGAGCUGGGCCUGGUGAGGUUCCCGGUCCAUG
Molecule: small RNA, 559 nt
Filed under: Pan troglodytes (chimpanzee)
Lineage: Eukaryota; Metazoa; Chordata; Mammalia; Primates; Hominidae
Description: retained intron
Source: RNAcentral